UAUUAUACCUGUCCAUAAUAACAUCUGCGUACAACAAUACUCGCGUGUAUCGGGUGUCGUUGUGUGUGGAUUAUAAUCUCGCGAUCGGGCACGCGUUUCAAGGUAGGUAUCUAUUAUAAUACCCAUAAAACUAAAAAUUAAAAUGGCCGGGCACUGUGAGAGUGAGGGAGCGAGAUAGAAAGAAUUUAAAAAGACGACACCGACGGAAUUCAGAAAAAAAAAAAAACCACUCGGUAUACAAACAGAACAUAAUAUUAAUAAAUAUGUAUAACUUAUAACUAUAAUAUGUAUAUUAUUAUGGUUGUACAUAUUUAUUGUAUUAUAAUAGCUGUUAAUGCGUAUGUGUGUGUGUAUGUGUAUGGUGACCAGAUGUGCAGUAUUUUAUGUUGACGACAAUGCGCUUCUCUGUGUUAUGAAUUCCCUCGACAAUUUGGAAGUUGUGUAUAAUAUUAUUACAUGCAUUACAAUAAUUAUUAUUUUAGAAAAUACAUUCACUUACAGGGAUUAAAGUGGGAGCGGGAUGUGAGGGGCCAACAAAUGUAAAUACGUGUCUGGUUUAUUGUUUAUUUAUACAGAGUGAUUCAUUUAUCAUGGACCAGCGAUUUUCUCGGAGGUUUUUAAGUGAAUUUGAUUUCUGUUUUUUUUUUUUAAUUUUUUAAUUAUUAUAAAAGCGUUUAAGAUUUAUUAAAAUAUUAUUUUCAAUUUUUACCCUCACUUAUCUCUAUACCUUUAAUGAAUAUACACUUUUAUUUGCAUCUAACAACCCCCUCUUUUAAAUACAGAUUAAAACGGAGAAUAAUUUUCUAAAAAAAAAAAAAAAUGAUAUACUUAACAUAAAUAUAAAACUUACCGUUUAUGAGUUACAAUAGGUUAAAGUUUAAACAGAAGGAUCAGGAAAGGGUUUUCAUUUAUCAAUUUAUCAUCUUCUAAACACGGAUAUGGAAGUAAAUACCCUAAUCACUCUAUUUUUCAAAACUUAUUUAAUCGGACUUGAUUCAGAAUCGUUUUUUUUGUUUACAACGAUUUAUCUUUACUUACAGUAUAAAUCGUAAGUAAAUUGCCCAUGCAAUGAAUUGGACAAAUUCACCUCUGGGAUGUAACAUUGUUAUUUUUUUCUUUUUCGUGUUUCUUUUAAACACUUUUAGUGGCUCCCCCUUAGAGUCUGCAUGGUCAAAUGAGCUCAAAUUCGUGUAUUAGAAUGGAGUCAAAUGUUAAAAUGAUAAAAUGUUGGUUGAGAAUCAAUAUGAAUUCAAAGGUGAAUUUUACUAAAAUGUUGGGGGAUAAGGAUGUUUUUUAACUUUAUACACCCCUAUAGACCCCCCUAAUGAAGGCUGAGGAUGCAAAUUUAAUAUGGUUUAAGUAUCAAGGAUGUGCACAUUUCAUGUUUUUACAGGAUAAUACAGGAUUUUAAACAGACAACCAAACUAUAGUCAAAGUAUCAUAGUAUCAGUAUAAAUUAUAAUUUAACUGCCACAGGUUGACUGAGGAAAAAUUUUACCCUAGUGGCGAAACUCUGUCGCUUAUAGGUGGUUUUUUUUAAUAGUUUUAUAAUAAUAAUUAUGAUUAUUACAAAUACAAUCCGUGAUUGAUAAUCCCACUUUACACAAUCUUUCUUUAAACGUCUCACCCUUAUGCAAUCUCCACUCCAAUGAAUCUAUUUGAAAAUAUCCCAAAUUAUUUUUUAUUGGUCUUUUAUUAUCACCAAAUGUAAUUAUAUUUCUGCUCUAAUAAAUUCAUACAAUAUCUGUUUUAAUGCUGCUCAAUCAAUAUUUUCCUCACAAUUAAUUUCCAUCAUCAAAUCAAUUAUUUCUUCUUUAAUCAGACAAUAAGUUUUUGAUUUAAUAUAUUGUAAUUAGUUUUUAUUUCAUUUUUAUUAUUUAUUUAUGUAAUUACUGAUUCACGAAUUUAUCAUUAAUUAUUGUAACUAAUUAUUAUUUUUUCAAUAAAUCUUCAAUUAAAAAAAAAAAUUAAUUAUAAUAUUAUAAAUAGUAUACUUUUAUGCGAAUUAAAAAGUCUGUUCAAAAUAUUAACUUUUGGGUGCCUCGUCAACUGAGAAAUUUCAUAGCCUCUAGCGUAUCUCACAACAAUAUCUUCACCAUUGAAUGUUUUCCUUUACACCGUUUGAUGCGUUUGACCGACGAGAACUGGCUUUGUCUACGGUGUAAUUUUGUAAUAAAUAGUGUCAACCUAGCAAAACUCAAUACACGAUCAGUACUUAGGACAUUCACUUUUUAUUGUUUUCGGUAAGAACACUGAAAUCCAAUUUUCUGUUAAAUAAAACACAAAACGAAUAAAGCUCGAAAUUAAUUGUUAUACCAUGGAGACACGUAUAUAUAGCCAUAUAGAUACGUAUACUAUAAUAUAAUAUAUUAUUGUUAUGAUAUAUUAUGUCUAUACUACUUCACGAUAAAAUUGUAUUUAUUUAUUACUUAUUAAUUAUUAUGUCAAUACUCUAUUUUGUAAUGUCAAAUCAUUUUCUUUUUGUACGGCGGUAAAAACAAUAUAAUAAUUAUCUAAGUAAUAAUAAUAAUAUAGUCAUACAACUUUCAAGAGAAGCAAUGUUUCAUUAAUAUAUUAUGACAAUAUUGACAUUCACUAUUCGUCUUGGCUGCUUGCGUAAGCCAGGAAAAGGAGUAAAAGAAUGUUGUAAAUGGCAAUCCGAAGGAUACUCUAAAGCAGCUCUUUCUAUGCGAUCGGAUAAUACUAAUUACUAGUUUUUAUUCUUAUUUAAAAUGAAUUAUUGUUGUUUUAUUUAUGUUAAAAAAAAUAAUAAAAAAUAUGGGGUCUAAUAAACGCGCCUGCUUAUCGCCGACUGCCCAUUUACAAACUACAAUUCCGAUGAAAUAAUUACUCUUUAAUGAAACCGUUUAAGGCGUUUUCAAUAACUGGUUAUCAAAUAUGGAAUCAAGGUGUUAAUAAAUCAUAUCUGGCUACCUUUGUCAUAUCUAUAACUUGAUGAACCGUACGUGAAAUGAAUAUUAGGUAGGUACGGUGAUUUUUCAUACACUCAAAUGUACAUAUUUUUUAUAAGAUUAUACAAUAUUAUACAUAAUAUAAUAUACUAGUUGCUCCACCCAUCGUUGCCUGUACCAAACAAAUAUGUAAUAAUAACUUUUCCCCUCUGAAUUCCCUGUUUCGAUCUCUGACACUAUCACUGCUGUUAUCCGUUUUACCCUUAAAAGUUGUCCUUAAAUGUUUAAAAAUGUUUUUUAUUUAAUUUUCAUUUCAGACUUGUAUGAAUUAGUUUUAUGGUAGCUAAGCAUUGAAAAAUACCUAUAAAUUAUUAUUCUGUAUCCAGUCCAAACUACUGCAGGUAUGGUCUACUACUUCUACUGGUCAGACUGGUCAGGGCCGUCUUAAAAUAUGCAGGAACCCUUGAGCACACAGAGUUUGAGGGCCCUUUUAGAAGCCAAAAAAUAACGUGAAUAAAAAAAUCAAUAUUAAUUUUUAUUUAAUGAC
Cinara cedri is the source of this 3459-nucleotide non-coding RNA. The record is from the annotation of a GenBank genome assembly. Lineage: Eukaryota; Metazoa; Arthropoda; Insecta; Hemiptera; Aphididae.